RNAcentral lists this ribosomal RNA (2937 nucleotides) under Pectobacterium versatile. RNAcentral's name for it is "23S ribosomal RNA". It matches the Rfam family "Bacterial large subunit ribosomal RNA". The record is from RNAcentral. Lineage: Bacteria; Pseudomonadati; Pseudomonadota; Gammaproteobacteria; Enterobacterales; Pectobacteriaceae.
GGGUUGUGAGGUUAAGCGACUAAGCGUACACGGUGGAUGCCUAGGCAGUCAGAGGCGAUGAAGGGCGUGCUAAUCUGCGAUAAGCGUCGGUAAGCUGAUAUGAAGCGUUAUACCCGACGAUACCCGAAUGGGGAAACCCAGUGUGUUUCGACACACUAUCAUUACGUGAAUACAUAGCGUAAUGAGGCGAACCGGGGGAACUGAAACAUCUCAGUACCCCGAGGAAAAGAAAUCAACCGAGAUUCCCCUAGUAGCGGCGAGCGAACGGGGAGGAGCCCAGAACCUGAAUCAGUUUGUGUGUUAGUGGAAGCGUCUGGAAAGUCGCACAGUAAAGGGUGAUAGUCCCGUACACAAAAAUGCACAGAUUGUGAGUUCGAUGAGUAGGGCGGGACACGUGACAUCCUGUCUGAAUAUGGGGGGACCAUCCUCCAAGGCUAAAUACUCCUGACUGACCGAUAGUGAACCAGUACCGUGAGGGAAAGGCGAAAAGAACCCCGGCGAGGGGAGUGAAAUAGAACCUGAAACCGUGUACGUACAAGCAGUGGGAGCCUUGAUUAAUCAGGGUGACUGCGUACCUUUUGUAUAAUGGGUCAGCGACUUAUAUUCUGUAGCAAGGUUAACCGUAUAGGGGAGCCGUAGGGAAACCGAGUCUUAACUGGGCGUUAAGUUGCAGGGUAUAGACCCGAAACCCGGUGAUCUAGCCAUGGGCAGGUUGAAGGUUGGGUAACACUAACUGGAGGACCGAACCGACUAAUGUUGAAAAAUUAGCGGAUGACUUGUGGCUGGGGGUGAAAGGCCAAUCAAACCGGGAGAUAGCUGGUUCUCCCCGAAAGCUAUUUAGGUAGCGCCUCGUGAAUUCAUCUUCGGGGGUAGAGCACUGUUUCGGCUAGGGGGUCAUCCCGACUUACCAACCCGAUGCAAACUACGAAUACCGAAGAAUGUUAUCACGGGAGACACACGGCGGGUGCUAACGUUCGUCGUGAAGAGGGAAACAACCCAGACCGCCAGCUAAGGUCCCAAAGUCAUGGUUAAGUGGGAAACGAUGUGGGAAGGCACAGACAGCCAGGAUGUUGGCUUAGAAGCAGCCAUCAUUUAAAGAAAGCGUAAUAGCUCACUGGUCGAGUCGGCCUGCGCGGAAGAUGUAACGGGGCUAAACCAUGCACCGAAGCUGCGGCAGCGACACUUAGGUGUUGUUGGGUAGGGGAGCGUUCUGUAAGCCGUCGAAGGUGACCUGUGAGGGUUGCUGGAGGUAUCAGAAGUGCGAAUGCUGACAUAAGUAACGAUAAUGCGGGUGAAAAACCCGCACGCCGGAAGACCAAGGGUUCCUGUCCAACGUUAAUCGGGGCAGGGUGAGUCGACCCCUAAGGCGAGGCUGAAAAGCGUAGUCGAUGGGAAACAGGUUAAUAUUCCUGUACUCGGUGUUACUGCGAAGGGGGGACGGAGAAAGCUAGGUUAUCCGGGCGACGGUUGUCCCGGUUUAAGCGUGAAGGUGGAUGACUUUGGUAAAUCCGGGUCGUCAUUAACACUGAGGCGUGAUGACGAGUCACUACGGUGAUGAAGUAACCAAUGCUACGCUUCCAGGAAAAGCCUCUAAGCUCCAGGUAACAUCAAAUCGUACCCCAAACCGACACAGGUGGUCAGGUAGAGAAUACUCAGGCGCUUGAGAGAACUCGGGUGAAGGAACUAGGCAAAAUGGUGCCGUAACUUCGGGAGAAGGCACGCUGAUGGUAGGUGAAGUGACUUGCUCAUGGAGCUGAAAUCAGUCGAAGAUACCAGCUGGCUGCAACUGUUUAAUAAAAACACAGCACUGUGCAAACACGAAAGUGGACGUAUACGGUGUGACGCCUGCCCGGUGCCGGAAGGUUAAUUGAUGGGGUCAGCCGCAAGGCGAAGCUCUUGAUCGAAGCCCCGGUAAACGGCGGCCGUAACUAUAACGGUCCUAAGGUAGCGAAAUUCCUUGUCGGGUAAGUUCCGACCUGCACGAAUGGCGUAAUGAUGGCCAGGCUGUCUCCACCCGAGACUCAGUGAAAUUGAACUCGCUGUGAAGAUGCAGUGUACCCGCGGCAAGACGGAAAGACCCCGUGAACCUUUACUAUAGCUUGACACUGAACCUUGAGCCUUGAUGUGUAGGAUAGGUGGGAGGCUUUGAAGCGUGGACGCCAGUCUGCGUGGAGCCAACCUUGAAAUACCACCCUUUAAUGUUUGAUGUUCUAACGUGGGCCCGUGAUCCGGGUUGCGGACAGUGUCUGGUGGGUAGUUUGACUGGGGCGGUCUCCUCCCAAAGCGUAACGGAGGAGCACGAAGGUUAGCUAAUCCUGGUCGGACAUCAGGAGGUUAGUGCAAAGGCAUAAGCUAGCUUGACUGCGAGAGUGACAGCUCGAGCAGGUGCGAAAGCAGGUCUUAGUGAUCCGGUGGUUCUGAAUGGAAGGGCCAUCGCUCAACGGAUAAAAGGUACUCCGGGGAUAACAGGCUGAUACCGCCCAAGAGUUCAUAUCGACGGCGGUGUUUGGCACCUCGAUGUCGGCUCAUCACAUCCUGGGGCUGAAGUAGGUCCCAAGGGUAUGGCUGUUCGCCAUUUAAAGUGGUACGCGAGCUGGGUUUAGAACGUCGUGAGACAGUUCGGUCCCUAUCUGCCGUGGGCGUUGGAAGAUUGAGAGGGGUUGCUCCUAGUACGAGAGGACCGGAGUGAACGCACCACUGGUGUUCGGGUUGUGAUGCCAAUUGCAUUGCCCGGUAGCUAAGUGCGGAAGAGAUAACCGCUGAAAGCAUCUAAGCGGGAAACUUGCCUCGAGAUGAGUCUUCCCUGGGCACUAGAUGCCCCUGAAGGGCCGUUGAAGACUACGACGUAGAUAGGCUGGGUGUGUAAGCGUAGCGAUACGUUGAGCUAACCAGUACUAAUGACCCGAGAGGCUUAACCUUACAACACCGAAGGUGUUU